GACGAACGCUGGCGGCGUGCUUAACACAUGCAAGUCGAACGGAAAGGCCCUGCUUUUGUGGGGUGCUCGAGUGGCGAACGGGUGAGUAACACGUGAGUAACCUGCCCUUGACUUUGGGAUAACUUCAGGAAACUGGGGCUAAUACCGGAUAGGAGCUCCUGCUGCAUGGUGGGGAUUGGAAAGUUUCGGCGGUUGGGGAUGGACUCGCGGCUUAUCAGCUUGUUGGUGGGGUAGUGGCUUACCAAGGCUUUGACGGGUAGCCGGCCUGAGAGGGUGACCGGCCACAUUGGGACUGAGAUACGGCCCAGACUCCUACGGGAGACAGCAGUGGGGAAUAUUGCACAAUGGGCGGAAGCCUGAUGCAGCAACGCCGCGUGCGGGAUGACGGCCUUCGGGUUGUAAACCGCUUUCGCCUGUGACGAAGCGUGAGUGACGGUAAUGGGUAAAGAAGCACCGGCUAACUACGUG
Molecule: ribosomal RNA, 468 nt
Filed under: uncultured bacterium
Lineage: Bacteria
Description: partial 16S ribosomal RNA
Rfam family: Bacterial small subunit ribosomal RNA
Source: RNAcentral